UACGAAGGGGGCUAGCGUUGUUCGGAUUUACUGGGCGUAAAGCGCACGUAGGCGGAUCGAUCAGUCAGGGGUGAAAUCCCAGAGCUCAACUCUGGAACUGCCUUUGAUACUGUCGAUCUGGAGUAUGGAAGAGGUGAGUGGAAUUCCGAGUGUAGAGGUGAAAUUCGUAGAUAUUCGGAGGAACACCAGUGGCGAAGGCGGCUCGCUGGUCCAUUACUGACGCUGAGGUGCGAAAGCGUGGGGAGCAAACAGG
RNAcentral lists this ribosomal RNA (253 nucleotides) under uncultured bacterium. RNAcentral's name for it is "partial 16S ribosomal RNA". It matches the Rfam family "Bacterial small subunit ribosomal RNA", at positions 524 to 776 of the family's 1533-position model. The record is from RNAcentral.